Molecule: long non-coding RNA, 316 nt
Filed under: Daucus carota (carrot)
Lineage: Eukaryota; Viridiplantae; Streptophyta; Magnoliopsida; Apiales; Apiaceae
Description: long non-coding RNA (DCAR_LNC002644)
Source: RNAcentral
CAUUAUCGGCUAAGCAACUGAAUUUAGCCUGCUAAACCAGCAUGACAAUGGCGGGUUGAAUAAUCAAGAAGAUCCCAAUUCAUUCAAAGCUCUAACUAUCACUGAGCAACACAUGCUUCAAUGACAAUCUGAACUUCGAAUUAAUUUGUAAAACGGAAAUUCUUUAGAAACUUGAAGAUUAGAAAGAAUGGGUCAGAAUACUCGCACUUUCGAACAUUGAAAAGAAAGGUAUGAAUACUUGAAACAUAUACCAAAGGAAUGGAUCAGAUUAUUUGCAAUAUAUCCAAGAGAAAGGUUUAGGAUACUUGCAACACAU